GAAAAGUUUAAAAAUAAUUGCUACAUGUGUGGACAACUUAAAACAACGGAUAAGGACCUGGCAGAGGUGAACUGAGACAUUUUGCCUGCCAAGUUCAGACCUUCAGGUUUGUGUGUUUUCUCUGCACUAAAUGAUUACUAACACCUAAAGCAGAGGGCUAUAUUUCUUCUGACAGCUUUAUAUGUCAGUUAUGUCUACUGCUGCAGGAAAAACAGUAAAAUUCAUGCCAAUGUAUAGGCCUUGUUUUGUUCCUCUGCACAGGAGAAAAUUUCACUUACCACCCUGAGGGAUUUAAUUCAUAUUUUAAAGAUAUCAACAUCUCACAGACAGAAAAAUGACUGCUAUAUAACAUUAAUUUUGAAUGCUGGUGUUGCUUUGACAUAUAAGUGCUUUUGAACUUGUUCUGAAGAAGGGACUAAGCAUGAAUGUAAGGAAAAAAUAUGACUACCCCAAACUAAGCGGGGAAGUAAAGUCUGGCAAGUUUGUCACAGCCACCAAGUAUUAAAAG
This is a long non-coding RNA of Gopherus flavomarginatus (Mexican gopher tortoise), 508 nucleotides long. RefSeq lists it as uncharacterized. NCBI's taxonomy places the organism in Eukaryota, Metazoa, Chordata, Testudines, Testudinidae. The record is from RefSeq and is a predicted model, not a curated record. The transcript has 3 exons.